This 497-nucleotide ribosomal RNA is filed under the name uncultured bacterium. RNAcentral's name for it is "partial 16S ribosomal RNA". It matches the Rfam family "Bacterial small subunit ribosomal RNA", at positions 28 to 507 of the family's 1533-position model. The record is from RNAcentral.
GAUGAACGCUGGCGGCGUGCCUAAUACAUGCAAGUCGAGCGAACAGACGAGGAGCUUGCUCCUCUGACGUUAGCGGCGGACGGGUGAGUAACACGUGGAUAACCUACCUAUAAGACUGGGAUAACUUCGGGAAACCGGAGCUAAUACCGGAUAAUAUAUUGAACCGCAUGGUUCAAUAGUGAAAGACGGUUUUGCUGUCACUUCUAGAUGGAUCCGCGCCGCAUUAGCUAGUUGGUAAGGUAACGGCUUACCAAGGCAACGAUGCGUAGCCGACCUGAGAGGGUGAUCGGCCACAGUGGAACUGAGACACGGUCCAGACUCCUACGGGAGGCAGCAGUAGGGAAUCUUCCGCAAUGGGCGAAAGCCUGACGGAGCAACGCCGCGUGAGUGAUGAAGGUCUUCGGAUCGUAAAACUCUGUUAUUAGGGAAGAACAAAUGUGUAAGGAACUAUGCACGUCUUGACGGUACCUAAUCAGAAAGCCACGGCUAACUACGUG